AUUUGAGUUAAACGCAAGUGAUAUCAUAUUCUCGAUAUCACUCGUUCCAAUAAAGUCGCAGUCAUUUCAUAGUAGAACUAUACCUUAUCCUGAAUCAACUCACCUUUCAUUGAUUAUUAAGGUACACCUGUUCCCUUAAGUUGGUAGUACAAAACAUGUAUUUCUUUUCUAAGCAACAGGUCAGACAUGUCCUCCUUUCAUAAAUUCAUUAAUGUAUUUUCUUUAUCUUUUGACGGAAACACUAUGCUUAGAAAUUUCGAAAUGUGUACUACUUUCUUGUAUGUUCUUUAUUACCGGGCAUAAAUAUGAUUCUAUACCUUAAAUAAACUUUAUGUAUGUUUAUGUCUAAAAAGUUAUUCGACGAGAAAAAACACAAUAUGUAAAAUUGUUUCAUUCCACUUUACAAAUACAGUAAACAUCUUUAGUUUGAAAACUCUUGCAUCUUGUUACAAUAAAAAAAAAAUGAAUUCGAGUGUUUCCUAAACGUAACUUUAAGUCACAAAUAAAAUUGUAGAAAA
This 518-nucleotide long non-coding RNA is filed under the name Mytilus galloprovincialis (Mediterranean mussel). Lineage: Eukaryota; Metazoa; Mollusca; Bivalvia; Mytilida; Mytilidae. The record is from RNAcentral.